This 1250-nucleotide ribosomal RNA is filed under the name uncultured bacterium. Its description in RNAcentral is "partial 16S ribosomal RNA". The record is from RNAcentral.
UCCGACUUCAUGGGGUCGAGUUGCGGACCCCAAUCCGAACUGAGACCGGCUUUUUGGGAUUCGCUCCACCUUACGGUAUCGCAGCCCUCUGUACCGGCCAUUGUAGCAUGCGUGAAGCCCAAGACAUAAGGGGCAUGAUGAUUUGACGUCAUCCCCACCUUCCUCCGAGUUGACCCCGGCAGUCUCCCAUGAGUCCCCGGCAUAACCCGCUGGCAACAUAGGACGAGGGUUGCGCUCGUUGCGGGACUUAACCCAACAUCUCACGACACGAGCUGACGACAACCAUGCACCACCUGUGUACGAGUGUCCAAAGAGAACCCCGUCUCGGGGGCUUUCUCGUACAUGUCAAGCCUUGGUAAGGUUCUUCGCGUUGCAUCGAAUUAAUCCGCAUGCUCCGCCGCUUGUGCGGGCCCCCGUCAAUUCCUUUGAGUUUUAGCCUUGCGGCCGUACUCCCCAGGCGGGGCACUUAAUGCGUUAGCUGCGGCACGGAACUCGUGGAAUGAGCCCCACACCUAGUGCCCAACGUUUACGGCAUGGACUACCAGGGUAUCUAAUCCUGUUCGCUCCCCAUGCUUUCGCUCCUCAGCGUCAGUUGCGGCCCAGAGACCUGCCUUCGCCAUCGGUGUUCCUCCUGAUAUCUGCGCAUUCCACCGCUACACCAGGAAUUCCAGUCUCCCCUACCGCACUCUAGUCUGCCCGUACCCGAUGCAAGCCCGAGGUUGAGCCUCGGGAUUUCACACCAGACGCGACAGACCGCCUACGAGCUCUUUACGCCCAAUAAUUCCGGACAACGCUUGCGCCCUACGUAUUACCGCGGCUGCUGGCACGUAGUUAGCCGGCGCUUCUUCUGCAGGUACCGUCACUUGCGCUUCUUCCCUGCUGAAAGAGGUUUACAACCCGAAGGCCGUCAUCCCUCACGCGGCGUCGCUGCAUCAGGCUUGCGCCCAUUGUGCAAUAUUCCCCACUGCUGCCUCCCGUAGGAGUCUGGGCCGUGUCUCAGUCCCAGUGUGGCCGGUCGCCCUCUCAGGCCGGCUACCCGUCGACGCCUUGGUAGGCCAUCACCCCACCAACAAGCUGAUAGGCCGCGAGCCCAUCCCCCACCGAAAAACUUUCCAACCCACACCAUGCGAUGCGAGCUCAUAUCCGGUAUUAGACCCCGUUUCCAAGGCUUAUCCCGAAGUGGAGGGCAGGUUGCUCACGUGUUACUCACCCGUUCGCCACUGAUCCACCCAGCAAGCUGGGCUUCACCG